Molecule: ribosomal RNA, 301 nt
Filed under: uncultured bacterium
Lineage: Bacteria
Description: partial 16S ribosomal RNA
Rfam family: Bacterial small subunit ribosomal RNA
Source: RNAcentral
CAGUAGCCACGGGAAUACGGAGGGUGCAAGCGUUAAUCGGAAUUACUGGGCGUAAAGCGCACGCAGGCGGUCUGACAAGUCAGAUGUGAAAUCCCCGGGCUUAACCUGGGAACUGCAUUUGAAACUGUCAGGCUGGAGUCUUGUAGAGGGGGGUAGAAUUCCAGGUGUAGCGGUGAAAUGCGUAGAGAUCUGGAGGAAUACCGGUGGCGAAGGCGGCCCCCUGGACAAAGACUGACGCUCAGGUGCGAAAGCGUGGGGAGCAAACAGGAUUAGAUACCCGAGUAGUCCCUGUCUCUUAUAC